This 1477-nucleotide ribosomal RNA is filed under the name uncultured bacterium. Its description in RNAcentral is "16S ribosomal RNA". It matches the Rfam family "Bacterial small subunit ribosomal RNA". The record is from RNAcentral.
GACGAACGCUGGCGGCGUGCUUAACACAUGCAAGUCGAACGGAAAGGCCCUGCUUUUGUGGGGUGCUCGAGUGGCGAACGGGUGAGUAACACGUGAGUAACCUGCCCUUGACUUUGGGAUAACUUCAGGAAACUGGGGCUAAUACCGGAUAGGAGCUCCUGCUGCAUGGUGGGGGUUGGAAAGUUUCGGCGGUUGGGGAUGGACUCGCGGCUUAUCAGCUUGUUGGUGGGGUAGUGGCUUACCAAGGCUUUGACGGGUAGCCGGCCUGAGAGGGUGACCGGCCACAUUGGGACUGAGAUACGGCCCAGACUCCUACGGGAGGCAGCAGUGGGGAAUAUUGCACAAUGGGCGGAAGCCUGAUGCAGCAACGCCGCGUGCGGGAUGACGGCCUUCGGGUUGUAAACCGCUUUCGCCUGUGACGAAGCGUGAGUGACGGUAAUGGGUAAAGAAGCACCGGCUAACUACGUGCCAGCAGCCGCGGUGAUACGUAGGGUGCGAGCGUUGUCCGGAUUUAUUGGGCGUAAAGGGCUCGUAGGUGGUUGAUCGCGUCGGAAGUGUAAUCUUGGGGCUUAACCCUGAGCGUGCUUUCGAUACGGGUUGACUUGAGGAAGGUAGGGGAGAAUGGAAUUCCUGGUGGGGCGGUGGAAUGCGCAGAUAUCAGGAGGAACACCAGUGGCGAAGGCGGUUCUCUGGGCCUUUCCUGACGCUGAGGAGCGAAAGCGUGGGGAGCGAACAGGCUUAGAUACCCUGGUAGUCCACGCUGUAAACGGUGGGUACUAGGUGUGGGGUCCAUUCCACGGGUUCCGUGCCGUAGCUAACGCUUUAAGUACCCCGCCUGGGGAGUACGGCCGCAAGGCUAAAACUCAAAGGAAUUGACGGGGCCCCGCACAAGCGGCGGAGCAUGCGGAUUAAUUCGAUGCAACGCGUAGAACCUUACCUGGGUUUGACAUGGAUCGGGAGUGCUCAGAGAUGGGUGUGCCUCUUUUGGGGUCGGUUCACAGGUGGUGCAUGGCUGUCGUCAGCUCGUGUCGUGAGAUGUUGGGUUAAGUCCCGCAACGAGCGCAACCCUUGUUCACUGUUGCCAGCACGUUAUGGUGGGGACUCAGUGGAGACCGCCGGGGUCAACUCGGAGGAAGGUGGGGAUGACGUCAAGUCAUCAUGCCCCUUAUGUCCAGGGCUUCACGCAUGCUACAAUGGCUGGUACAGAGAGUGGCGAGCCUGUGAGGGUGAGCGAAUCUCGGAAAGCCGGUCUCAGUUCGGAUUGGGGUCUGCAACUCGACCUCAUGAAGUCGGAGUCGCUAGUAAUCGCAGAUCAGCAACGCUGCGGUGAAUACGUUCCCGGGGCUUGUACACACCGCCCGUCAAGUCAUGAAAGUUGGUAACACCCGAAGCCGGUGGCCUAACCGUUGUGGGGGAGCCGUCGAAGGUGGGACUGGUGAUUAGGACUAAGUCGUAACAAGGUAGCCGUACCGGAAGG